CCUACGGGGGGCUGCAGUGGGGAAUAUUGGACAAUGGGCGAAAGCCUGAUCCAGCCAUGCCGCGUGUGUGAAGAAGGCCUUCGGGUUGUAAAGCACUUUCAGUGGGGAAGAAAGCCUUGGGGCUAAUACCCUCGAGGAAGGACAUCACCCACAGAAGAAGCACCGGCUAACUCCGUGCCAGCAGCCGCGGUAAUACGGAGGGUGCGAGCGUUAAUCGGAAUUACUGGGCGUAAAGCGCGCGUAGGCGGUCUGAUAAGCCGGUUGUGAAAGCCCCGGGCUCAACCUGGGAACGGCAUCCGGAACUGUCAGGCUAGAGUGCAGGAGAGGAAGGUAGAAUUCCCGGUGUAGCGGUGAAAUACGUAGAGAUCGGGAGGAAUACCAGUGGCGAAGGCGGCCUUCUGGACUGACACUGACGCUGAGGUGCGAAAGCGUGGGUAGCAAACAGGAUUAGAUACCCCGGUAGUC
RNAcentral lists this ribosomal RNA (465 nucleotides) under Vreelandella stevensii. RNAcentral describes it as "partial 16S ribosomal RNA". It matches the Rfam family "Bacterial small subunit ribosomal RNA", at positions 338 to 795 of the family's 1533-position model. The record is from RNAcentral. Lineage: Bacteria; Pseudomonadati; Pseudomonadota; Gammaproteobacteria; Oceanospirillales; Halomonadaceae.